RNAcentral lists this small RNA (1718 nucleotides) under Pan troglodytes (chimpanzee). Its description in RNAcentral is "retained intron". Lineage: Eukaryota; Metazoa; Chordata; Mammalia; Primates; Hominidae. The record is from RNAcentral.
CGGUAGAAAGUCAGAAGGUCACAAAGCUUGCAGGGUAAGUGACACAACUUGAAACUGCUUGGCCCUCUUUAAAAAGAAAUAAUAAAAUGGGAGAGAAUGAAGCAAGUUUACCUAAUACGUCUUUGCAAGGUAAAAAGAUGGCCUAUCAGAAGGUCCAUGCAGAUCAAAGAGCUCCAGGACACUCACAGUACUUAGACAAUGAUGACCUUCAAGCCACUGCCCUUGACUUAGAGUGGGACAUGGAGAAGGAACUAGAGGAGUCUGGUUUUGACCAAUUCCAGCUAGACAGUGCUGAGAAUCAGAACCUAGGGCAUUCAGAGACUAUAGACCUCAAUCUUGAUUCCGUUCAACCAGCAACUUCACCCAAAGGAAGGUUCCAGAGACUUCAAGAAGAAUCUGACUACAUUACCCAUUAUACACGAUCUGCACCAAAGAGCAAUCGCUGCAACUUUUGCCACGUCUUAAAAAUACUUUGCACAGCCACCAUUUUAUUUAUUUUUGGGAUUUUGAUAGGUUAUUAUGUACAUACAAAUUGCCCUUCAGAUGCUCCAUCUUCAGGAACAGUUGAUCCUCAGUUAUAUCAAGAGAUUCUCAAGACAAUCCAGGCAGAAGAUAUUAAGAAGUCUUUCAGAAAUUUGGUACAACUAUAUAAAAAUGAAGAUGACACGGAAAUUUCAAAGAAGAUUAAGACUCAGUGGACCUCUUUGGGCCUAGAAGAUGUACAGUUUGUCAAUUACUCUGUGCUGCUUAAUCUGCCAGGCCCUUCUCCCAGCACUGUGACUCUGAGCAGCAGUGGUCAAUGCUUUCACCCUAAUGGCCAGCCUUGCAGUGAAGAAGCCAGAAAAGAUAGCAGCCAAGACCUGCUCUAUUCAUAUGCAGCCUAUUCUGCCAAAGGAACUCUCAAGGCUGAAGUCAUCGAUGUGAGUUAUGGAAUGGCAGAUGAUUUAAAAAGGAUUAGGAAAAUAAAAAAUGUAACAAAUCAGAUCGCACUCCUGAAAUUAGGAAAAUUGCCACUGCUUUAUAAGGUUGGUCCAGUGAAUGUUAUUCAGUGGUUUGGUCAAUAUUUUGCCUUGUUUUGUUGGAAUUAUAUGCUUUUGUGAGUGUGGAGUGUGUGUGUGCAUAUAGGUGUGUGAGAGAGAGAAGGGGAGAGGAAGAAAGAGAGGCAGAGAGCGUCACAGAAAGAUGGCUUUUCCACAUGAGAACAUUUUAAUUUAAGAUAUUUAAGAACAAUAUAUUUAUACCCUUAUUUCUUUAGAGAGAAAAUACCUUAAGUCAGGUAACACUGAGUUUGUGGGACCUUAAUAAAAUUGGCAUACUCUUCAUAAUGGUACCUAUCUGGAAUAGUAAAAAAUGAGAACCACCGUGUGUUCAUCUUAUGACAUAUGUGAAACUUCUAAUCUAUUAUCAAAUGGACUAAUUAUCAUGUUCUCUAUGUUAGACAAGUAUCUAGAUGAUUUACACCCUUUAGUGAUUAUUUUGUCAACUAUAUAGCUACAGUUACUAACUGUGAUCAGGAUUUUAAUUAAAAUAUACUAUGCUAAGAGUAGCAGAAUUUUGAUUUAUUUUAUUUGAAUGGAAGUUUAUUAACACUCAUCCACAGAUACACUUACGUAAUUAAAGCAGCUCAAUCUAAGUUUCUGAUGAUGAACCAGCACAAUAGACAGCCACUACUGCUCAUUCUCGCUUCAUUUCCUUUUUCUAUUUUUUCUAAAAAAAGA